RNAcentral lists this ribosomal RNA (376 nucleotides) under uncultured bacterium. RNAcentral's name for it is "bacterial SSU rRNA". It matches the Rfam family "Bacterial small subunit ribosomal RNA", at positions 524 to 898 of the family's 1533-position model. The record is from RNAcentral.
UACAGAGGUGGCGAGCGUUGUUCGGAUUUACUGGGCGUAAAGGGUGCGUAGGUGGUUUUGUGUGUCGGACGUGAAAGCCCACUGCUUAACGGUGGAACUGCGUUCGAAGCUGCAGAGCUUGAGUUCAGGAGAGGAGAGCGGAAUUCUCGGUGUAGCGGUGGAAUGCGUUGAUAUCGAGAAGAACACCGGUGGCGUAGGCGGCUCUCUGGAAUGACACUGACACUGAGGCACGAAAGCGUGGGGAGCAAACAGGAUUAGAUACCCUGGUAGUCCACGCCCUAAACGGUGCACACUUGGUGUAGGAGGAAUUGACCCCUUCUGUGCCGGAGCUAACGCGUUAAGUGUGCCGCCUGGGGAGUACGGUCGCAAGAUUAAA